Molecule: ribosomal RNA, 2787 nt
Filed under: Sargassum henslowianum
Lineage: Eukaryota; Phaeophyceae; Fucales; Sargassaceae
Description: bacterial LSU rRNA
Rfam family: Bacterial large subunit ribosomal RNA
Source: RNAcentral
UCAAGGAAAUAAGGGCUUACGGGGGAUACCUUGGUAUUCAGAGGCGAAGAAGGACGCGGUUACCGGCGAAACGCUUCGGGGAGCUGGAAACAAGCUAUGAUCCGUAGAUCUCCGAAUGAGGAAACUUUUUAAACUAUCUACCGAAUUCAUAGGUAGAAAAGAGCGAACCUAGCGAAUUGAAACAUCUUAGUAGCUAGAGGAAAAGAAAGUAAAAACGAUUCCCUUAGUAGCGGCGAGCGAACUGGGAGAAGCCUAAACUUUUUCCUUAAAUGCAAAUUUAAGAAAAAAGAGUUGUGGGACAAUUAAAAAGAAAUCGUAAUUUUAAGUUAGAUGAAUUAGUUGGAAUACUAAAUCAUAGAAAGUGACAAUCUUGUAGUCGAAAACUUAAAGCUAUUUAAAUUGUAUCCCGAGUAGCAUGGGGCACGUGAAAUCCCGUGUGAAUCCGCGAGGACCACCUCGUAAGGCUAAAUACUACUGAAUAACCGAUAGUGAAACAGUACCGUGAGGGAAAGGUGAAAAGAACCCCGGGAGGGGAGUGAAAAGAACAUGAAACCGUAAGCUUACAAGCAGUAGAAGGACGACUUAUAACGUCUGCCUGCGUGCCUGUUGAAGAAUGAGCCGGCGACUUGUAUUUGGUGGCAUGGUUAAGGUAAGAAAUACCGGAGCCAUAGUGAAAGCGAGUCUGAAUAGGGCGUUAUGUCACCAAUUACGGACCCGAACCCGGAUGAUCUAACCAUGACCAGGAUGAAGCUUCGGUAAUACUAAGUGGAGGUCCGAACUGACUGAUGUUGAAAAAUCAGCAGAUGAGUUGUGGUUAGGGGUGAAAUGCCAAUCGAAUUCGGAGCUAGCUGGUUCUCCCCGAAAUGUGUUUAGGCGCAGCGGUUAGUGUUAUAGCUUAGGGGUAAAGCACUGUUUCGGUGCGGGCUGGUAAUUCGGUACCAAAUCGACGCAAACUCUGAAUACUAAGUGUAUAGCUAACCAGUAAGACUAUGGGGGAUAAGCUCCAUUGUCAAGAGGGAAACAGCCCAGAUCACCAGCUAAGGCCCCUAAAUAAUUGCUAAGUGAUAAAGGAGGUGGGAAGACUUAGACAACCAGGAGGUUUGCUUAGAAGCAGCAAUCCUUUAAAGAGUGCGUAAUANAAAAAAUAUAUAUUAUAUAUCGGUAGGGGAGCGUUCUGUUAUAGAUUGAAGCGUUAGCGUAAGCGGGCGUGGACGAAACAGAAGUGAGAAUGUCGGCUUGAGUAGCGAAAACAUAGGUGAGAAUCCAAUGCCCUGAAAACCUAAGGUUUCCUCCGGAAGGCUCGUCCACGGGGGGUAAGUCAGGACCUAAGGCGAGGCUGAAAAGCGUAGUCGAUGGACAAUAGGUUUUAUUCCUAUACUAUUCUUUAUUGGCAACGAGGGACGAAGAAAGCUAAACUAGCCAACUAAUGGUUAUUGGUUUAAAUGUACAAGGUGUUGAGAAGUAGAGAAAAUACUUUGAGCUAAGUCAUGAAUACGGAAUAACGUGCGCGUUAUAUGAAGUAGUUGAUGUUAUGCUUCCAAGAAAAGCUUGCACUGUCAUAAAUAAAGAAUACCUGUACCCUAAACCGACACAGGUAGGUUGGUAGAGUAUACCAAAGGGCGCGAGAUAACUCUCUCUAAGGAACUCGGCAAAAUAGCCCUGUAACUUCGGGAAAAGGGGUACCUUUUAGGUUGCAAUAACAAGGUCCAAGCGACUGUUUACCAAAAACACAGGUCUCCGCUAAGUUGUAAAACAACGUAUGGGGGCUGACGCCUGCCCAGUGCCGGAAGGUUAAAGAAGUUGGUUAGUUUAUGACGACGCUAAUAACUGAAGCCCCGGUGAACGGCGGCCGUAACUAUAACGGUCCUAAGGUAGCGAAAUUCCUUGUCGGGUAAGUUCCGACCCGCACGAAAGGCGUAACGAUUUGGACACUGUCUCAGAGAGAGACUCGGUGAAAUAGACUUGUCUGUGAAGAUGCGGACUACCUGCACCUGGACAGAAAGACCCUAUGAAGCUUUACUGUAACUUGAAAUUGGUUUCGGGUUUUAUUUGCGCAGCAUAGGUGGGAGGCUGGGACGUUAAUCUUACGGGAUUAAUCGAGCUGUCAGUGAGAUACCACUCUUAUAAAACUAGAACUCUAACCUUGUAUCGUUAGCCGAUCAGGGAACAGUUUCAGGCGGGCAGUUUGACUGGGGCGGUCGCCUCCUAAAAGGUAACGGAGGCGUACAAAGGUUUCCUCAGAUCGGUCAGAAAUCGAUCGAAGAGUGUAAAGGCAAAAGGAAGCUUGACUGUGAGACUUACAAGUCGAACAGAGACGAAAGUCGGUCUUAGUGAUCUGGCGAUAUUGAGUGGAAAAGUCGUCACUCAACGGAUAAAAGUUACUCUAGGGAUAACAGGCUGAUCUCCCCCAAGAGUUCACAUCGACGGGGAGGUUUGGCACCUCGAUGUCGGCUCAUCGCAUCCUGGGGCGGUAGUACGUCCCAAGGGUUGGGCUGUUCGCCCAUGAAAGCGGUACGUGAGCUGGGUUCAGAACGUCGUGAGACAGUUCGGUCCAUAUCCGGUGUAGGCGUUAGAGUAUUGAGAGGAUUCUUCUUUAGUACGAGAGGACCGAGAAGAACAUGCCGCUGGUGUACCAGUUAUCAUACCAAUGGUAAACGCUGGGUAGCCACGCAUGGAAAGGAUAACCGCUGAAAGCAUCUAAGUGGGAAGCCCACCUCAAGAUGAGUACUCUCAUUGUGAAAACAAGUAAGAUCACGGCAAGACUAGCCGUUUAAAUAGGCAUCAAGU